RNAcentral lists this transfer RNA (73 nucleotides) under Wolbachia endosymbiont of Atemnus politus. Its description in RNAcentral is "tRNA-Trp". It matches the Rfam family "tRNA". From Rfam's summary of the family: Transfer RNA (tRNA) molecules are approximately 80 nucleotides in length. Their secondary structure includes four short double-helical elements and three loops (D, anti-codon, and T loops). The record is from RNAcentral. Lineage: Bacteria; Pseudomonadati; Pseudomonadota; Alphaproteobacteria; Rickettsiales; Anaplasmataceae.
AGGAGUGUAGCUCAAUUGGUAGAGUGCUGGUCUCCAAAACCAGAGGUUGUAGGUUCAAUUCCUAUCGCUCCUG